This 336-nucleotide unclassified non-coding RNA is filed under the name soil metagenome. RNAcentral's name for it is "partial contains 5.8S ribosomal RNA, internal transcribed spacer 2, and large subunit ribosomal RNA". The stretch from base 1 to 120 matches the Rfam family "5.8S ribosomal RNA", at positions 35 to 154 of the family's 154-position model. The record is from RNAcentral.
GAUGAAGAACGCAGCGAAAUGCGAUAAGUAGUGUGAAUUGCAGAAUUCAGUGAAUCAUCGAAUCUUUGAACGCACAUUGCGCCCCUUGGUAUUCCAUGGGGCAUGCCUGUUCGAGCGUCAUUUGUACCCUCAAGCUUUGCUUGGUGUUGGGUGUUUGUCCCGCGUUGCGCGUGGACUCGCCUUAAAGCGAUUGGCAGCCGGCAUAUUGGCCUUGGAGCGCAGCACAUUUUGCGCUUCUAGUCAUGAAUGUUGGCGUCCAUUAAGCCUAUACAUUUGCUCUUGACCUCGGAUCAGGUAGGGAUACCCGCUGAACUUAAGCAUAUCAUAAGCGGAGGA